AACCUUAAUGCUUUUAUAGAAGAAGUUUGUAAUUCACUUUUUUGAGUUCCCCUUUAAUUUCUUAUCUAUUUCUCUCUCACAUCAUACGUUAUUUUUUCUUCUUAUAUUUAGUCCAUAAAGUUUUCUCUUUCUUGAUUCUUUAUCACUUUAGACCAAAUAUUCAACUUUUCACAUAUUUUUUUCCUUUUAUUUUUGCUAU
Molecule: long non-coding RNA, 199 nt
Filed under: Carica papaya (papaya)
Lineage: Eukaryota; Viridiplantae; Streptophyta; Magnoliopsida; Brassicales; Caricaceae
Description: long non-coding RNA (CPAP_LNC004716)
Source: RNAcentral